AAAAAUUAGAAGAGAAAGAACAUGUGACUCUUGAUCGCAGGGUCACGAGUUCGAGCCCCAUGUUGUGGUUAAAUUUACUAAAAAUAAAUAUAUAAAUAAAUAAGUAAUAAAAAGUUACUUAUUUAUAAACCAAAUUUUAAAUUAAAUGUAUAAUUUAAAUACAAUUUAAGUUAAACUUUAAGUUAUUUAAUAAAAUUUAAUUAAGGUUUUAGAGAGUAUAAUGAUAUACAGUAUUUGGACUUACGUAUAUUUGAUAUAAAAAUUUGAUAUUCAGUAAUUCUAAUCUUUAUUUUGCCUUCUGCAUUAUUAGAUACUUUUCAAUGUUUAAAAAAAAAACCCUAACUUUUUGGAAAAACACUGGAAAAUUUUUUCAUAAAAAAUUGUCGCAAAAAAAUUAAUAAAAAAUAAAUAUAUUUACAUUUUUGUUCUUUGAAUAUAAUUGUUUUUAAUCCUUAAGUAAAUUUUAAAAUCUUUUUUUUUAAAGAGGAAGUGUGUGAGUGGAGAGGGGCAGAGAGAGAGAGAGAGAGAGAGAGAGAGAGAGAAUCUUAAGCAGCCUCCAGGCUCAGUGCUGAGCCCCAAGCAGGACUCCAUCCCAGGACCCUGGGAUCAUGACCUGAGCCGAAAUCAAGAAUUGGGUGCUCAACCGACUGAACCACCCAGGCACCCCUAAGAUCUUGAUUAUCAUAACAUAAUUAGGGGCGCCUGGGUGGCUCAGUUGUUGAAACAUCCGACUCUUGGUUUCCCCUCGUGUCAUGACCUCACAGUUCUUGAGUUCAAGCCCCGCAUCAGGCUCUGUGCUGACAGUGAAGAACCUGCUUGGGAUUCUCUCUCUCUCCUUCUCUCUCUGACCCUCUCCCACUCACUCUCUCUGUCUCUGUCUCUCUCUCUCAAAAUAAAUAAAUAAACUUAAAAAAAAUAACAUGAUUAGCGAUUUUGCUGAAAGGAAGAGAAGAAAAAUUCCAUGGGAUCGUCAUCAUCAUUUAUGAAUGAGGUAUACGUUUCUUACUCAUCCCAACAUCGUCAGCCCAAGCUGCAAUGUCCUCAGGAAGAAAAGUCUGGAGGCGGAAGGUACAGGGCAGCACUGCCCACUUAAAGGCUCUUCCUGCUACCUUCUUUCCGCCAGCCCCUACCAUCCUGUUUCAGAGGGUAAUGUAGCCACCGGUAAUAAAACUUUCCUUUGCCUCCUUUCUGCUACAGCAGGUGGGGACUAAUGACACUAGGAUGUGUGAGCUUCACCGGGAGGUGACAGAUUGUCAGGUCACCGCUUCACAGGUGGUUAACCCCACGCUCCCUACUAAGCAGGCCUCUCUUGGUUGCAGUUGACAGAAACUCACCUCGAACUUGUUGGCGCAGGAAGGGACAUUUAUUGAAUUGCAGGAUUGCAGUAAGGGCAAGACUGUGUUUGGGUCCCGGAAAGGGUAGACUCUAGGAAUGGAAUCCUGUCUGGACUCUGCUCCCUCUUCAAGGAAGCUUAUGCUCUCAGAUGGGCUGUGUCCACAUGAUUCCAAACUGUAGGCCUCUGGCCUCACUCCUGAAGGCUUCCCCUGUAAAGCUGAGCUGUUCCACUUAAUUUCUAUUCAAAAAAUAGUGGUGGGGGCCAUAGGCACACCCUGUCACCCGGAGCACAGUGUCCUGUGACUGGCACUCUCCACUACAACCCCAUGGGGGAAGGAGUUCCCCCAAAGGUGGUACCACCCACCAAAGGGAAGGGAGGUGAGGAGGCAGAACAACCAGGACCCUCUGUGCUGCCCCACCCAGGGGCCUUCAUGACAGCGAUCACCAGUCAGUGCUUCGUACUUUCUGCGGGAAGCUUGCAUGGGCCUCCGUUUGCAUGGUUUGGACCCAAGUAUGUCCAGAAGAAUGAUGACGUCACAGAACUGAGGUUCCAGAAGGCAGAGUGGCCCAGCGCUCCCACCUUCUUUAGAGCAUGGGGAGCUGUGAACUAGGCGGGGCUAGAGUAUAGUUCAUGAGGAAGAGACUCUUCAUUCUACUGAUUCUUGAGGAAAGCCCUGGCUGUCUGGGACCUGGGGUCAGAGAGGGGUAGGGGAGAGGUAAGCUUCGGAAGGGGAGGUGAGAAUGCAUCUACCAGAGGCACCAUAUUCCCCAUGGAGACCCCAAGGGGGGACUUCAUGGGUAGAGAGAGAGCUCACCCGCUUCCCAAGGCUCAGUGACCCCUGGCAAGUCUCGGAAGGAACCUCCUGAGUCAGGGUGGAGCAGGGUUGCAUGGGACACACUCAUACUAAAAAAUUAUUUGUUGUUUGUCUGAAAUUCUAAUGUAGUUGGGCAUCCUGUAAAAUUUUCUUUACUAAAUCUGGUAACACCAGGGGGAGGGAGAGAAGCAAAAGAAUGUUCACAAGCUCAGGCUGGUACGGAGUGAGCUUAGAAGGCAUCUGUGAGGAAACAAGGCCAUUAGGGCAGCCAUCUUGCCCAAGCAGAAGCUUCCUGACUCUGCAGCCUGUGGGUGGAGGAACCUAGGCCUUUGCUCUCGGGAACAUACACCUGCUUUCAGGGGAAAGAUACGAAUGCACACACCCACCACACACACACACACACACACACACACACACACACACAUGCACACAGUGACAGAAAUAGCCCCAUUCUGUGUUUUCAUGGCAUUGAUAGUUUUUUUUUCCCAAUGUUUAUUUAUUUUUGAGAGAGAGAGAGAGAGAGAGAGUGUGAGCGGCAGAGGGGGAGAGAGAGAGGGAGACACAGAACCCAAAGCAGGCUCCAGGCUCCAAGCUGUCAGCACAGAGCCCGAUGCUGGGCCUGAACCCAUGAACCACGAGAUCAUGACCUGAGCCGAAGUUGGAUGCUUAACCGACUGAGCCAGCCCAGGUGCCCCAUCCAGUUCUUCACCAAGCUUCCCACCACCUUAGAUUUAAUAUCCAUUGAUGAUUCUUGCCCAAACUAAUCUAUGAUGGCUGCAGAGUGAUGAUUUUCCAACCUCAUGACCACCUCCACGUUUAUCACUCACCAUCUUAUUGUCAGGAAGAGCUCCAACCCCAUCCCCGUUAUGUAUCUGUUUGUCUAUUUAUUACUAUUAAGGACUCAGGGAUUCCUAUCUCUUUCACUAGAUUAUAAUCUGUCACUAUCAUUAUUUUUUUCAAAGACGCUCUAGGCCCAAGGUGGGGUGCUAACUCAUGACCCUGAAACCAAGAGUGGCUCGCUCCACCAACUGAGCCGGCCAAGCUCCCCUGUCACUAUCUUUAUUUGUGUUGAUGGCCAAACUGUCCCAGACUACCUUAGAAACCAUUCUGUAUUAAUUCUGUAGCUAUGAUACCAAAAGCGUAAGCAACAAAAGAAAAGAUAGAGAAAACAGUCUUCAUCAUCAUUGAAUUCUUUUGUUUCUAAGAAUACCAUCAAGAAAGUGAAAGGCAACCUACAGAAUGCGAGAAAAUAUUUGUAAGCCAUGUAUCUGAUAAAGAAUUUUUUAUUUUUUAAAAUUUAUUGUUUUUAAUUUUAUUUUUUAUUUGUUAAGAGUUACAUCCAAAUUAGUUAGCAUCUAGUGCAACAAUGAUUUCAGGAGUAGAUUCCUUAGUGCCCCUUACCCAUUUAGCCCAUCCCCCCUCCCACACCUUCCAGUAACCCUCUGUUUGCUCUCUAUAUUUAUGAGUCUCUUCUGUUUUGUCCCCCUCCCUGUUUUUAUAUUAUUUUUGUUUCCCUUCCUUUAUGUUCAUCUGUUUUGUCUCUUAAAGUCCUCAUAUGAGUGAAGUCAUAUGAUGUUUGUCUUUCUCUGACUAAUUUCACUUAGCAUAAUACCCUCCAGUUCCAUCCACAUAGUUGCAAAUGGCAAGAUUUCAUUCUUUUUGCUUGCCGAGUAAUACUUCAUUGUAUAUAUAUACCACACCUUCUUUAUCCAUUCAUCCAUCGAUGGGCAUUUGGGCUCUUUUCAUACUUCAGCUAUUGUUGAUAGUGCUGCUAUAAACAUGGGGGUGCAUGUGUGCCUUCAAAACAGCACACCUGUAUCCCGUGGAUAAAUGCCUAGUAGUGCAAUUGCUGGGUCGUAGGGUAGUUCUAGUUUUAGUUUUUUGAGGAACCUCCAUCCUGUUUUCCAGAGUGGCUGCACCAGCUUGCAUUCCCAUCUGAUAAAGAAUUUUUACAACUCAAUAAAGAAGGACAAAUAACCCAACUAGAAAAUGGGCAAAAGAUCUGAAUACUGAAUUUCCCCAAAGAUAUGCAAAUGGCCAAAGAGCACAUGGAAAGAUGCUCAGCAUCAUUAGCCACCAGGAAAAUGCAGAUCCAAACCAUCAUGUGUACGACUUGGCACCCAUUAGGAGAGCUUUGAUCAGAAAGACAGUUAAUAACAAGUGUUAGCAGGGGAGGGGGGGCCCGGUGGGCUCCGUUGGUAUACAGCAUGGUGACUCUCAACAUCAGGGUCAUGGGCAGAACCUACUUUAAAAAAAAAAGAGUAAAUUGAAUUAAAAAAACAAACAAGCGUUGGGGCACCUGGGUGACUCAGUCAGUUGAGCCUCUUGAUAUCAGCUCAGGUCAUGAUCUCACAGUCUGUGGGCUCAAGCCCCGCAUUGGGCUCUGCGUUGACAGUGAGGAGCCUGCUUGGGAUUCUCCCUCUCUCCCUCUCUCUCUGCCCCUCCCUAGCUUUUGUGCUCUCUCUCUCUCUCUCUCUCUCUCUCUCUCUCUCUCUCUCUCAAAAUAACUAAAUAAACUUUAUAAUUUUUUUUUAAAAGUAACCAGUGUUGGUAAGGAUGUGGAAAAGCCGAUGGCAAUGUAAAAUGGUACAGCCACUUUGAAGUCAGGCAGUUGCUCCAAAGUUGAAACUUGAAGUUACUCUAUGGCUCAGCAGUUCCAUUCCUUGGCGUAUAUGCCCAAAGGAAUGAAAACAUUUGUCCACACGAACACUUGUGCGUGAAUGUUCACAGCCCCGUCAUUCAUAAUAGCCCCAAAGUAGCCCAAAAGUCUAUAAAACGAUCAAUAGAGAGACAAAAGAAGGAUUCAUCACAAGGAAUGAGAUCCCAGUGGCUGCCACAACAUGAAUAAAUCUUGAAAACAUUGUUAAGCGAAAGAAGCCAGGCUCAAAGGCCACCUGUGGUGUGACUAUUUGUGUGCAGUGUCCAGGUUAGGUAAAUCUAGAGAAAUGGAAAGUAGGCUUGAGGUGGGCAGGGGUUGGAGGAGGGGUGGGUUAGUGACAGCUAGUGGGUAUGGGGUUUCCUGUUGGGCUGACGAAAAUGUUUUAAAAUUGACCGCGAUCAUAGUCGCACGGCUCUGCAAACACACUAUUGAGCUGUACGCUUUAAAUUAAGUGAUUGUGCGGUAUGUGAAUUAUGUACUGUGAAUUUUAUCUCAAUAAAGCUGUUACCAAGAAAGUGUUCCAGAUUUGGCCAGUGGGUGCCCCUCUGAGCUGGCUCUCAUGUCCAUUUGACGUGCCCCAAUCCAUAUUUUGAGCACUUUCUUACUUUCUAGCACAAGAUAAUUCAGACUUAUUUUAUACCCUUUCCUAACUCCAGCCUAGGAAUCAACCUUUGUCCCAGAAGUCUUGCUUCCUAUUUGGGGGGGAAUGCAAAACCAAGAUUUAGGCAUUUAUCAUUUCCUUUUAUCAUCAUGACAACCCUAGUAAGUGGGUACUGGCAUAUCUUCAUUUUACAAAUGAGGCCCAGAGAGGUAAAGUAUAUUGCCCAAGGUCACACGGCAGCCCAACCUUUGAAAGCAGGCGACGUGAAUCCAGAGUCCCCGCCCCUUGCACCUCCCCCUACACACACACACACACACACACACACACACACACACACACAGAGUGUGAAAGUGAAGUUUAUUUCUUCAACAAGGUCACUUUUACUUGAGUGACACCAGUUUUUUUUUUUAAAUUUUUUUUUAACGUUUAUUUAUUUUUGAGACAGAGAGAGACAGAUCACGAAUGGGGGAGGGUCAGAGAGAGAGGGAGACACAGAAUCUGAAACAGGCUCCAGGCUCUGAGCAGUCAGCACAGAGCCCGACGCGGGGCUCGAACUCACAUACCGAGAGAUCGUGACCUGAGCCGAAGUCGGACGCUUAACGGACUGAGCCACCCAGGCGCCCCGAGUGACACCAGUUUUGAGUGGAAACAAAGGUGUAGAGCUUAUAAGACAGCCUCUCAGGAAUUGCACAAGGCAGGGUAUACCCUUGGGAAAAGUCACAUAUCAUGCGUCUGGGAGCGUGGGGUUGAGGGCAGAUCAACACCCAGUGGCCUGGCCCUUCCUACGAGAGCACAUGUUCAAAUUCACACACGCAAGUACCAGUAAAGUCCAGUGCUCAUCAAUCUCCUUUGCCAGCCUCACUCCCCACCCCUGUACCCAAAUGCUGCCCAUAGCCAGGUGUCCUUUACAAGAGAAUGGCUAAAAGAGGAGAAAACCUAUAGAUGAAAGGAGAUCAGCCUCAGUUUUUCACUGUUGACACUGGGCAAUGGCUACAUGGAGAUUCAUGAUCUUAUUCUCUCUUAUUUUGUAAGUGUUUGAAAGUUUCUGUAGUAAAAGAAAGUAUAAAAUGGUGAGAGGAAAGAGAAAUAGCCAGGCGGGGAGCCGUGAGUGAGCCGGGACAUUUGGCUGCUCUCUCCAGAUUCCUCAGGUGCUCAGAGGAGACCAGCAGCACGUCUGGGAGAUCCUCGGGACCACAGGCCCUCAGCUGCACCUUCUCCCCUCCGAAGACGAUGAGGAUGCUACUCAUGUCCUUGGUCAGCUGCCUCGUUGCCAUAAAUGAGGCCAAGCUCAUCAGUCGCUGUGACUUGGCCAGAGUGCUGCACAAGGAGGAUCUGGAUGGGUUUGAGGGCUACUCCCUGAGCGACUGUGAGUGCCGCUUUCUCACACUCCCGCCCCGCCAUUCCUCUUCUGCUCCUGGUCACCUCCUGUGUGGCCAUCUUUCCAUCAUUCAUCUUUCGAAGCCAAGUUCAAAAAGCAGCCCUCCCCGAGAAGCCCCUCCCAACAUUCUAUAUUCCUUCCACUGAAUAUUAUUAACUGAGCACUUACUAUGUACCGGGAACUAUUUUAGGGGCUGGGGACAGAGACAUCAACAAAGCCCCUUCCUUCACAGUGUUCGCAUUCUAGGGGGAGAGGCGAGUCCCAAACAAACACACAAACAUAUGAAGCACUUCCCGGUGGUGAUAAAUGUUAUGCAGCAGAAUAAAGCCAGGGGAGUGAGAGGUAACCUUGUCCUUGAAGGGGAAGUCAAGGAAUACCUCUCUGAGGAGGCGACAUUGAGCAGCACUGAAUGAGGCAAAGGACCGGGUCACCCAAAUGUCUGGGGAAGAGCAUUCCAGGCAGAGGGAGCAGGCAGUGCAAAGGCUUCGCCCUCCUCCAUGGUGGGGCUAACUUCCUUUUGCCCAGAUUUUGCACACACCUGUCUUGUGCCGUCCUUCUCGUUUUAUCUUGUCUUGUGGUCCUUUAAGGGGUGCGUCUUCCUUCUUGCUGAAGGCACCAGCUGCCUUUGCCCCAGCUGAAUGUCCCUCACUGGGCUUUGCACGGGUCAUGGCACACAGUAGGCGAACAUCAAGUGCAGGAGAUGCGGAUGGACAGCGGGAUGAUGAGCGGUUGUACUGAGGGGCAGGUGGAUGGACCGAAGGGCGAGGAGAGAAGCUAAUGGGUGUUUCCAGCCAGCUUGCCCCGUCUAGCCUCUUAGGCCUUGUUCCUUUCUUCUGCUUGCCCGUCUCCCUUUCUCCUCCGUGUCCUUUGUCCCUCAGUUCAGAGCCCUCUAAAAACCUUCUUCUCCCUGUUCUAAGGGCUGUGCCUGGCUUUUGUGGAGAGCAACUUCAACCUAUCAAAGGUAAAUGAAAAUGCAGACGGCAGCUUCGACUAUGGCAUCUUCCAGAUCAACAGCCACUAUUGGUGCAAUGAUCACAAGAGUCACUCGGAAAACAUUUGCCACGAGGACUGCAAAGGUAUUCUCUGUCUCCCCUUCAGAACUGCUGAGCCCCGAUCUUCUCUCAACCAUCAACUGUGUGAAAAAGAUUGUGUCUGGAGCAGGGGGAAUGAAGAACUGGUGAGGAGGUCACUGUGGGACUAAGUCAGCAGGCAGAGCCCCAAGAAGGAUGUAGUGACAGGAGGGGACAGGAGGCAAGGACUCGACCCCUUCUAACCAUCUAGAAAAAUGUGGGAGAGCGGCGCGGCUUGGAACUGGGACUUACAAGACUUGGGAUCUGGGUCUUUCUCUGAUGUUGUAUUAAAACUGUUUUGGACACAGUAGCAAAGGAACUUGAGUUAGCUGAGGGAGAUGGCUUCGGAGGGGACAAGGUGUCUCACCGAGCUUACCCAAGGGGUCUCUUCUCUGGAAGAGAACGGAGGCGGAGCUGGGAACUGUCAGUGUGGCUUUCCUGACAAGUUUCUGCCUCCUCGUGCAUUUCCUUCACUACUUUCUUUGUAGAGCAGUAUAUUCUGCUCCCCAUUCCAGAGAACAGACUGUGGCUGCCCCCAAGUUAAUGGGCUAAUGUUCUGAGCAGUCACGGAGACUGGCUAGUCUCAGCCCCAGAGUCCAAGGGGCUGGGAUAGAGAAUCUGAUUGGCUCAGCUUGGACCCAUCAUCCCCGAGCGGUUCAAUGAGCUGUAGGUGUGGGACCAGUUAAGCAGCACCAUCAUGCUGGCCACGGGUGGGGGGUGGGGCUGGCCCUCUCCAUAAGUCGCAGCAACAUUUUCUAUAAAAGGUGCGUAGCUCCUCAGCUGAGUAAAUACCCCCAAAGCUGUCAGCUUCCCAGUGGUAGACAGUGCAAUGGUUGCUUCACUUUUCUGAGCUUCAAAUUGGAGAUAGAUAGAUAGAUACAUAGAUAGACAGACAGAUAAGUUGCCUCUACAGGUGUCUGUGAGGAUGGAGGGGGUUAAGUGCCUUGUCUACUCUAAGAACACCAUGCGGAAGAGACGCUGACGGCUACUAGGGAUGACCCUCUCUGGAGGGAGAGUCGAUAGUUGCCCCUGAGAUUGACGGAUUGGUUAUUUAUUUAUUUAUGUAUGUAUUUAUCUUUCUGUUUGUUUAGUGACUCUCAGCCUUGUAAAAUGGUGCACUCCCCCUUCGGGGCCAGAGGAGGAUUUGAAAACGUGGGAGCAUACUGGACGGGGGGAGGAGCCAAACACCACAGAUAAGAGAAAAUUAAAGGAAGGCUCAGAGGGGCCACAGGGGGACAGACCAGAGAGCGAGCGGUGAAGGGGGUUCUGUGCAUUGCCGUGCUGUGCCGUGUGUUCACUAAGUGCUGGGUCAUGGAUGUGGAGAAGGAGCUACUAAGUAGGAAGCAAGAACCCAGCCGCCUUCUCUCCACAGGGUGGU
Neofelis nebulosa (Clouded leopard) is the source of this 9236-nucleotide RNA transcript. It is a transcript of the gene named lysozyme-like protein 6, with no coding region annotated. The transcript has 2 exons. NCBI's taxonomy places the organism in Eukaryota, Metazoa, Chordata, Mammalia, Carnivora, Felidae. The record is from RefSeq and is a predicted model, not a curated record.